GUCGGGGUUCUGUCAAAGAGAACCCACGUAUACCCGACAUUGCUGUAUUCCUUCAAAAAUGACGGAAACCUUCCACAACCGGUUCUCUACUGUUACUUCAUUGGUAAUGUAAUGAAGUUUGCUCUCCCAAAAUAUCUUUCCAACAAACCAAAGACGCUCCUCUCCCUCUCUCGACAAAAGCCCUAAAAUUUUUCAUAAAGAACAACAAAUCCAUCGUUUGACGACCAUAUGAAAGUGCAAGAAUUAGAAAUCUGCAAAAGGAGCUUCUCUAUCGACGAGGAAACUGGAACAAAAAGAAAUAUGCAAACAAAUUAGAUAGUCGGAAUGUGAAGUGCCAUUAUGAGCUUCGUUAGGUUGGUUAGUUGUUUUUAUUUUUUUUGGUUUUGGGGUCUUACGUAUUUUUAAAUUUUGUUUCUUUUUUGGAAGGAAAGGAGGAUUUUUUAUGACCUUUGUUAAGUUUUAACUUAUCUUUGUAUGUUAUGUUUUUGGAUAGUUGUUGAAGUAAAACCAUCCAAUUGAACUAUCAAACAUGUCCAUAUUAUUUUCUUUUAUUGGAUUUUUUUUUUUUUCAAUUAAAUAAACCUCUUGACUUGGUAAUGUAUCAUUCCAAGUCUCCAAAUUAUGAUAUAGCACCAAUCACUAAUGACACUGGACGGUUAAUACAUUCAAUCUCAAGUUAGCAAAUAAUAAAACAUAAAAAUAAAAAUCAUUUAUCCCAUGAAGAGAUCUCUUUAUCUCAUGUUGAAUUUUUAAUUUUUUGACGUGUAUUUUUUGGAAUAUGAAACUUUUCUAAAAGCUAGAAAAUCAAACAAGAAUGUAUAAACACCAAAAAAACAGAAAGUAAACCCCAUAUAAACUAUAAUAUUUUGAAUUUUUUAUUUUUCGACAUAUAUUAUUUGGAAUACAGAACUUUUCUAAAAUCUAGAAAAUCAAACAAGAAUGUAUAAACACCAAAAAAUCAAAGUGUAGAUUUAAAUUUCAUUUCUAUUACAUGAACUUUUCCAACAAACUUGUGAUAAAUAAAAAAAAAAUCGGGAAACCUGCUGCUUGCACUACAGAAGAAGAAAAACGAAAAAAAAUUGGGAAAUCUACACUUAAGGAAGAAAUUGAAGGCAUGAUAAUUAUACUUAGUGGAGUUCUUGGUAAGCCUAAAUUUGUACUGUUCAAAAACCUGUUCCAUUUUGGAUUUAUUCACAGCUCAAAUGAAUACAUAUAGACCAAAUUGUUACAAACCAUUUUAUCUAGUUAAAAGUCAAGAGUUGAAUUUUCAAAGUCAAAGUCAAAUGAGGACUUUAAUGAAGUAAAUUAUUUUAUUGGAGUUAUUUUACAAAUUGAAAAUAUUUUGAGGGUCUAAGAUGGAAAAAUUGUAAUAAUAAUUAUUUUGGGAAGCUAUUUAAAUAUUAUUAAAAGUUAAGGUAUUAAAUGUUAUGUUUAAUUGAAGUAGUGGGACUUUCUUUGCAAAUUGAUUUAGUGGCCCAUUUAAAACCCAAUUGCCCAUUUCUUUCACACACACAUACAAUACAUAUAGGGGGGAAAAAAGGGGCAGAGAGAGCUGGAAGAAUCGAGAAAGAAAGGGAGAAAAGAGAGAGGAAAGAAAAAAAAAAAAAAAAAAAAAGAAAGAAAGGAAGGAAAGGAAGAAGAGGAAGUGAGUGUUGAUUUCUUCAAGUACUAUUUCAUUUCUUAAAGAAUUAGAAAAUAUGUGUUUGUUGUAUUUUGAUGUUAAAUAUUCUAGGGUUCUAAGUUGUUGAUUUAAAUUUUAGAUUGCAGGAAAGAGCAUGAUUUCAAGCCAAUCUUUGUGAGUGGUGAUUGAUAUUUACAUAAAGGUAAGUAAUAUGAUUUUUGAACGAACCUAGAAAUUUUUAGUUGGGAUUUUUGAUUAAGUAUUGCUAAUGGAAUAAUUGAGGUGAUGAAAUAUUCAAGUGAAAUCAUGAUUUUAUGAAGCUAGAUUAAAGAUAAGUUGGUUGUGUUCUUUGUGUCAGUUUUUACUAGAUUGUAAAGUGAAAUUAUUUUAUGCUUGGAAUGAAAUAUUUUUAUGAAUUGGUUAUUAGUAGAGGAACUAGAGAGUGGAAUUAGCUUAAAGUGAUUAAGGGAAAUUGGUGGAAAAUUAUUAAAGUAUCGAGAAAUCAAGUUUUAGAUUCCAUCAUCAAUAUUUAAAACCACUUAGCAGGAGAGUGUAUAAAUUAGUUAUUUUACAUUGUCUUUCAGGUGAUGGCGAAGAGAUGGGAAAAACUUGUCGACCAUCAUAACCAGUAGCUUGUUUAGAGUGAAUGGAUAUAAACUCAUUUUUCAGAAAUUAGUAUUUAUUAAAUUAUAUUAUAUUAGAAAAUUUAUUAUUUCAUUCAAUUGAGUUGACAACAUAAUUUUUAGAAUAAAGUGGAUUUAUAAUCAGUUGUUUUAAAGUUAAAUUCAGUUCAAUUAAAUCAUUUCAAUAGCAUGUUCCAUUCGUAUUACAUGUUUCAGUAUAGUUAAAGUUAUUUCUAAAAACCAACAGAAAGUACCCAGAUGAUUUUACCCCAGUAUGCACUGGUGUGAAUGUGUUUUCACAGUGUAUGACCAGUUAUGGUGAUUUUACCCGCUCUGCACUAUUGUGAAUAUGUUUCGAUAGUGUAUGACCAGAUUAUCAGAGGUCUUUGGGACCCACUCUCGUACACAUAUAGGUUUUGGGCUGUGUGCUAGGGUGAUUAGCCUUUGGGGCAGCUCUGUGUACGUAUGACCAGAUUAUCAGAUUUGAAUGGCUUUGCCUUGUACAGCAAGAUUACUCUUUACAUGAGUAAGGCUAUUCAUUGGGUACAUUUUUGGUGUGAUUUUUCAAUUUUUCUAUAGCUUAUCAAAUUUCAGAUUAUAGAAUUCAGUCUAUUCAGUUCUCAGAAUAAAGCUUCCAGCUUAUAGAAUUGAACAACAUCAUUAUUUCACAGAUUUUCAUGGAUGUCAGAUUAUUUAUAUUCGUUAUAUUUUACAAUUGUUGAACUAGAAUAAAGAAUUUUAUGAUCCAAUCAUAUUUUAAUUUUAAAAGUGCUACUAGUUUUCAAAAUUUUUAGAAGUUUUAGUAGUGCAAGAGUUUUCAAAAAAAAUAUACAUAAAUGAGAAAACUUUACUUAUUUGCAAAUUAUCCACUCACAGAGCUUUAAGCUUAUACACACACACACACACACACACACCUUUUUCUUUAUCAGAUAGAAAGCAGACGAAUUGAGCAGCUUUGGAGCCUAUUUAACCACCAAAUUGAGCCACAUGUCAGGUUAUAUGACAUCCUUUAUCAGAUUAUACAUUACGUGUUCUUUUGGGAUACAUGUUGUUUAAGUCAGAAAAAUUCAUCAUGAGCUCAUUACAUCCUUGACGUAUUUGGUAUAUUUGAGGAUUAUUGGUUGUAAAGCAAGUAAAUAUUGAAUGACUAGCAUUUUAUUUGAAUAGUUUGUAUUAUGAGGUAUUGGGUUGAAGAAACUCUUUUUUUUAUUGACAAGGGAACCCGCAGCCGCUAUCCGAAGGUGCGCACUAGGUAAACUCCGUCUUGUGAUCCUAGCCGACAAAGGACCACAAGGAGGUAAAUCAGCCUAGGUUACCCAUAGUUGACCGGCUCAAACCAAGAAGGCCAAUAGGUCGGGAAUCGAACUAGCAACCUCAUGAUUGCUAGUCAAUUGGGUUGAAGAAACUUAAAAGGUUGAACUCCAACCUUAAGGGUCUCCCACCGUUCCUACCCUGGAGCAUCGUGAGGGAGGUAAAUCGCAGGUUAUGCCUCCAAGGGUACAGGUGGAAGGCUGCUUGUACACUUGCACUUACCCAAGAGCUAAAUCCAUAUUUCAGGAUUCGAACCCUUGACGCGGCAGCCUCAAGCAAAGCUGGAUUUCUCCACUCUCCCCUUUUACCACUUGGAGAUGUGCCCUGGGGGCUGGGUUGAAGAAACUUGGUUAUGGUUCAGGUGGUUUUAGUUCAUAUUUUAGGAAAAACUCUUUCAAAAUUUUGUUAAAAAUAUUUUUCAGUCAAGUUGUCUUGGUGGUGGGUCCAGCGUUUAGCUGGUAUCUACCAUCGGCGCACGACACGUGUCGGAUCUACUAGGAUGAUUCGGACGGGUCGUGUCACAAAUUCUUGUAGCCUAAAUGUAAACAAAAUACUUGGUCAUUGAAGCAAACCCUAACUCGUCCCCUAACCUUUGCAGUCUCUCUGUCUCACGCUCAAAGACUCUCUACUCUCAAAUUUGUCUAUCAAAAACCUCAAAUCUUUCUUAUAGAAUAAUAAAUCGCUAUUUCCACGAUCGAUCCAAAAUAAAGAAAGUGUCGAAAUUUGCAAUACAACUCUUCCUAAACAGGUUUGCACUGGUAAAUACAAAAUAACUUCUUCAUAUAUUACUUUUUGGCAUUUUUUCAUAUAUUACUUUGGCAUUUUUUGUAGAGAAAAAAAUGAAACAUUGACGAUCAUUUUUCUUCGAAAAUAAAUAGAUAGACUUAAAACAAACAAAAAUUACUUCCUUUUGAUUCCGUCUGCACAAGCCUUUGAAUUUGUUAAUUUUUCUUUGGGUAUUGUUUUUUGUUUAACAGUACACUGUUUGAGGUUCUAAUACGGAAGAAUUCGCUCUGCCAAAGUUCAACGGUUCGAUUUCAAAUCCUUCUGGAUCCUGUCUAGCUGUAAUAUCAACAGCGAGGAUCACUGUUCCCCAAUUGAGGUUUCUUGCGAUUAGGUUUGUCGGGUCGUCACAUUCAAUAUUUGUUUGGUAAGGUUUUUUCAGUUAUAUAACUAAGAUUGACGUCAGUUCUUUAUUUCAUCAUGCAACAUAAGAUAUAGAAUUGGUUUCUUUAAAACACAUCAAAGGCUAGGAUGUUUUAGGUAAAUUGAAAAGCAAGAAAAUAACAAGUCUUUUUGGAUCUUAUUAAGAAACAUAAAGGUAAAGUCUUGUUAGACAAGAUUUCUUAGCAAUGCAUUUGAAAAUUUGAAGGCUCUUUAUGUAGUGAUGCUUGUUGCAUUCUGUAUUUGCCAAUUUAAUUUAUCUGCUAAUCAUGAGAAAGCUUCAAUUACAAUUAGAUUUUGUCUUUUGUAGCUUCAUAUGUGAUUUGGUUUAAUGUAGCAUAGCCUUUCAAGGGUGUUAAUUCUAUUAUACAAUGAUCUUAGUAGCAAAUGUAUCAAAUAGAUUGGGUUCUUGAAUUUUUUAAAUUUAUGUUUGUUUCACUGUACAUUAAAUCCUUUUGUUACCCUUUUCUUUACCCACAGAAAGAAAGUCUCGACCACAUAAUUAUGAAAUUUUAUUUGUAGAAGUGUGUGAAAAACUUGUCAUAUGUAAUAUUGAUACAAAACAACAAAUUUGCAAAACCACAAUUCCUUAUUACUUAAAAAGGACAAUUCUCCAAUAGGCUUAUAAAUUUUACAUUAGGAUAAACAUGCUUUCAUGAACCAAACCAAAUAUCUAUUGAUGAACCGCAUAACAAAUACCUACCAUAACUGUCCAUUCAACUGAAACAUUUUCCCAAUAAAUCCAUCUCUGUAAAAAAUUGAAAAAUAUACAUUUAGAGGAAAAUCUUCAAUUAUUAAAUCUGAAAUUUUGAUAAUCAAUUUCCUUUAACUGAAAAGAAAUUGAAAAUCUUUGCCUACCAUAAUUUCCAUCACUCUUUAAAUCAUUAAGCAUAGUUCACCAGAAGCCAUGUCAAUUCCAAGAAAUGUGCAUCCAUAUGAAACAUAUAUGAAUGGACUCAUUAGUUUUUGUCUAAGCAUAACAGUGUACAUAUGUAUUGUACUCAAUUACUGGACUACACUUAGCCCCCGUUUGGCUCCUAUUAAAUUUCAUUACAUUACAUUCCAUUCCAUUUUUCUCUCUCCUGUUUUUAACUACAUAAUCGUCCAUAAAAUAAUAUUACACAUAAAUAAAAAAAAAAAUCUUUCUUAUUUAACCACUCAUUUUUCAAAAAAAUACUAUUCCACCCAUUUUCAUUUCUAGAAAAUGGAGGCCAAACGAGGGCUUAAAGUGCUUCCAGUUUAACUACAAUUUUUUAUAUUUCAUCCUAUGUCAAAGCAACUGAAGUACAAUUAAUAACUAAAAAAUUUAACUAAGAAAGUAAUAAAUCAUGAUUAACCAAAGAAAUUCAAUUUAAAAUCUUGCAAACCAAAAUGAUAUUUAUCUAAUUAAAAACGUAUUAAAACAUUCGGGAGGACUUAACCUUAAUAGUUUGAAUCGAAGCCCGAUUCAUAGACAUUCGCUGCGUCCAACUCAGAUCGGACCUCUUCGAUUCACUUGGAACAAAUAAGAUAUAUCCAUUUUGCAUUGUUAAGUUUGUGUAAUGAUUGUCUUAUUAUGAGUAUCUUAAAAUUGAAUUUCCACGAAACAAACAAAUUUGGAAUUACUUGCACAAAAUUUAAUGGAAAGUCAUGCUAUCGGUGGGAUAAUCUAUUCUAAUUUUACACUUGUACUAGAAUCACAUGAAUAAUUGUGUAUUCUUGUGCUAAAGUUUCAUAAAAUUGUAGCUAGCUAUCAUUUCUAUCGCAAUGAUUGUAUACUUUCACAUCAAUGAUAAAAAAGAAUGCUUCAAGUGAUGAAAAUAUAGAGUCUUAAAUUUAUUUCUAUAAAGUUGUAGUACUUAAAAUAUCAUUCAUCAUAAUAUGGAACUUCUGCCGGCUUCUAUUUUUAAAUUUAUUUACGAAGAUUAAGUCAGAUUUGUAUAUAAAUAAAUUUUAUGAUUAAUAAAUAGUUUUUUUUAAUAGGUUUUGCAGAUAUCGUUAGAAUACAUAUUGUCUCCAAAUCAAUGAUUCUCUACUACAAUUACUCAAUUUGCAAAUCAUCAAUAUCUGAAAGAUUUUGUAGAACUUAUAAAUAGAGAUGAUCAAGCUUCUUUAUUGUGUAGUCACUUUCAUGGAUUUAUUUAUGGAAGUAUGUAUAAAAAGAAAAAGAAAAAUUUAGUAGUAAAUUGAUACACGAGUUCAUAAUGAGACUUAUCCACUGUGGUAAAAAUAAUGAAGUUUGGGUGAAAUUAGAUAAUCAUGUAGCUCGUUUUGGCAUGCAAGAAUUUUGUCUAAUCACUGGAUUACCAUGCUAUGAAGUUACUGUUAAUCUCAAUUUUAGUAAUACUCGACUUAGAGAUGAAUACUUCAACGGUACAAAAAGAAUUACUAUGAAAAAGCCUUCUGAAGUAUUCCACGUGCGUCAAGAUCCAGAAGAUAAAUUUAAGUUGGGAUUAGUUAUGUUCGUCGAAUGUAUUUUGAAAUCAAAUGGAAGACAAAUCUAAUAUAGAACUCUUGGAAUGGUUGAACAACUUAAUGAAUUUCUUAUGUAUCCAUGGGGCCGUAAGACAUAUUUUACUUUUGUUAAAUUCAUUGCAAAAAUCACAGCUCGAAAGAGUACGAAGGAUACAACAAAAUGACCAAACAGAAUGUAAAUAUUACGGUUAUCCACUUGCAUUCCAGUUAUCUUUCUUUUAUUUUUUUCCUUAUUAUGUAUAAUUUAAUUGUAUAAAAAUUUUAAUACUUCUUUUUACUUAUAUUAUAGAGUUGGAUAUAUGAAGCUUUUCCUCAAAUUGGACAACAAUUCGGACGAUGUACACAUAGAAAAUUAUAGUAUCCACGAAUGCAUAAAUGGAAGCCAAAAAUAGUAUUAAUGGAACAGAUCAUUAAACAAUUUUUGACUACUCGAAACGUAUGAUUUAGUUGAAUCUACAAUUAAAUGUUUAUUUAAUUAUUUAUAAAUAAAUCUAAUAUUUUAUUGCAAUUAUAGAUUGAAGUAAUUGCAAUACUGCAUCCUACUGAAGAAGAAUUGAAAACUUUCUUGUAUACAAAUAUUUCACUACCAGUUGACAACCAACAUAGUAUACUAGAUAGCAUUGUCAAUGGUGAAUUUGACAAUGUAAUACAACAUAUUCCAGCUGAUAACAUACAUAAUUAAAAAAAAACUGUUGACACUUCAGUUGGAAUUGGAUCUACUUCUUCUGGUAGUUCAAACUAUGUAACUAAAGAAGAUAUGAAUCAAAUGUUCAAUAUAUACAGACAACAAGUAGUGUCAGAUGUAUCUGAUUUGUAUGAUAGCUUAAAGAUACAAAUGAUUGAAGAAUCAAGAAAACAAGAAACUCGUUAUCAUGCAAUUCUUGAAAAUCAACAAGCUAACUGCCAAACGAUUCUUGACAACCAUAAACAAUUAUUUGAACAUUAGCAAAAAGGUCAAGAAGACUACUUCCAUGGCAUGCAAUCUAACAUGCAAUCUUAUGUGGAUACCAGUUUCAGUUCAACGAAAUCUUACAUUGAUGAAUAAAAUCAGAAUAUGCUGAAUCAGUUAUCCGACUGAAAAUCAUACGUGGAAAUGAUUGCAAGCUCUAUACACCAAGAUGUAUAUGCUCAUACAAGUCCAAUUGAAUUCGAAAUCUCUUCAACAUCUGAACAUAUUGAAAAUGUUGAAAGGUUGACGAAAGAAAAAAAGGUAAGAAAAAGCAGCUGCAAUCUUCAUCAACAGCCAGCUAAUACUUUAGAAGACUGUAACACCAACAAGUACAAAAACAUUAGAGAUUGGAUAUUACAGAGUCCAUCAGGGCAAGAGAUCCAAUUUUACUUUGUUAGCUUAAAUAUUAUAAUUUGUAUUUUACUCAUUUAACGCCAAUUUAAAUUUUCUUAUACAGUACGUAUUGAGAUGAGGAAAGGAUCCUAUUUUACUUUAUUAGUCUAGAUAUUAUAAUUUGUAUUUUAUUUAUUUAACAAAAAUUUAAAUUUUCUUAUACAGUACGUAUUGGGAUGAUGAAGCUCGUAAUCUCUAUGGAAGAUAGAUGCUAAAACAUAUAAUAGAUAAAAAAAAAAGAUAUAAAUAUUGUGAUAAGUAAAAUUUAGUAAUGAUAAUUCAUUUUAUUUCAUUAUUAAUAUAUCUAAUAUACAUUUUAUUUUAUUUUAUUAGCAUAUUGAUAUAGAAUUAAAGCUAUUGAAGAGGCUUAUUAAGGAUGAUUCUCCCCUACUUUCUAAAGAAUAUGCAAUCAUGGAUCUUAGAUUCGAAACCGAAUAUGUUUAUUGGCAAUUGAAUAUGCAAGAAGGAAUUGGCAAUUCUGCAACUAAUAUGAAUGUAUUACAACAGUACAUAAAUGAAAAAUUGCCAGUACCUGCUCGUCCGUGGAUAAUAUACAACUAUUUAUUAAUUCUAUCCGCAUAUCCAGGCAACACUUGAUUUCUUUUUCUUGUUGAUUUUUCGAAAAUGGAAAUUUCAUAUAUAUGAUUACAGCCACAACAUUCAUACGUCGGAACAAAUGAGGGCAUAUGCAAUACCAGUAUUGAUUGUAAUAGAAUCAUUAUUAGUAUUUGCACACAUUUUCUCCAACAAACCAAGUUUAAGGAAGCAUAGAAAUAAACUUAUGAAGUUGGAAAUCAUGCCAUAUCUACCUUGUCAAAUAAUGGGUAAGCAUCUCCACAAUUUACUAUAAUAUUUAAUUUUCUAUUUAUUUUAAUUUUAUAUUUACAGUAUUAAGAUAAUCUAACUUUAACCUUUUUCUAUAGGCCAAAUUGUGGAAUUUUUUUCUCAAAUACAUUGAAUGCUUCAUUUUUGGAUAUCCAUUAGAAUCAGUUUCACCAAAGAAGAUGAGUUAUAUAGACGAAAGAUUGCAACAAAUAUCCUAGAGAUGGCAACGGUUCGGUUCGAGGUCGGUUCGGCCAAAACCAUUACCGCACCAUCAAUUUUUUGGUCAUACCAUAACCGCACCAUAACCACGAAAGUCAGUUCGGCUCGGUUGGGGUCGUUAAUAACCACAAAAAUAAAUUAUUUUUAAUUGGUCUAUAUGUCGAAUUAAAAAGAAAAAUGUAUGAAAAAAGUCAAUGCAGUAAACAACAUCCCAAAUGAAAAUGCAAAAAAAUAUCCUAAUUCUCAAAUACACAAUCCAAAUUUAACAAACAAUAUUCAAUAACGGGCCAAAGAGAACGCUUCAACUACAGUAUUUCCCGGCUAUACAGGUAACCCAUUCAUUGCACAUGUGUACAUCACACAUUUUCUCCAUUUGCUCUUUCCCAUUUAUUUCUCCAUUCUUGUUCUUUUUCACCUUUCAGAAUUUUUAACGCCAAAUAUCCACUUAGGGUUUGAUUUCUAUAAUUAAAGAAUUUAAUUUCUUGUUUAUGUAUUGUUUCGGCCAAAAGUCAUCAAAGUGGAAGAAAUUAAAGUCAUUUAUCUCUAAAACAGCCACCAAUUGUAAAAAAAUUGAAAAUUUUGGAUAUAUUUUGGCCAAAUCUUGUACGAAAUUCACAACAAAUUCAAAUAGACAAAUACAAAUUAUCAAAAGAGAAAAUGAGAAGCUCACCAGUGGUAGAAGCCUAAAGGUCGAAGGAGAAGAAAAUAUUGCAAACGGGCAGAGGAGGAUGAGACGACAGUCGGUACUCGACAGACCCAAAAUGCAGAAGCUGAGAUUCCAAUUUUCCAAUAAAAUGUUUGUGCCUUUGUGUUAGACUGUUGGGGUUCAAAGUUGGGUAAUGGGUACUUGGGUGUAAAUUUAAUUUGUUAACAGGCCAGAAAUUUUGGGCCAAAGAAAUUAAGUAAUUAACAUAUAAAAAAUCAAAAAAUUAUGGAAAGCCCAAUUAUUAUUAAUUUAUUAUUUUUCUAAGGGUUAAUCGGUUCGGCUCGGGGCGAUGGCAUAAAUACCAUACCUGCCCCGCCCCAAACCGGUUCAUUUGAUUCAAAUACCAUAUUUGCCCCAUUGCACUAUCGGUUCGAUUUUUUUCGCUCCAUUCGGUUUGGUUUAUCGCGGUUUUCGAUUUUGACGGUUCGAAUUGUCAUCCCUAAGAUAUCCGUUACAAUGAAUAUUUUUUAUGUCCCGUUUGUCUUAAUUCUAACGAAUUAUCAAAGUACAGUAAAAUUACUUUCAACUGCCAACAUAUUUUUCACAUUGAGCAUGUGUUAAAUGACAAUAACAGCUACAUGAUUAUUAUCAGUAAACCACAGUGUGCAUUCACUACUUAAAUACUAUUGAACACAGUUUCUAAGAUAAGUUAUAAAUAUUUUUUCAUUAUGCACGAAUAUACUUAAACUUAUAAAUAUCUAAAUCAUUACUGUAUUGUUGCCUAUAAUAAAUUCAUGUAAAUUCUAUAAUUCAUUGUAUAAUCUUAUAUUCAUAACUUCAAAAUUGUUUAUUUUAAGUAUUUCUUUACAAAGGAAUGAAUAUAAGUUGUUUGGUGGCAAAUAUGGGACACUGCUAAACACAAAAGAUAUCAAAGUCUCGAAGUUUGGUUGUUGUUUAUCUUCAUCAAAGUCUCGAAGUUUGGUUGUUGUUUAUCUUCAACCUUUGGUGAAAUUCUACAACAAAUCAAAAACGCUUUUACAAAAAAUUGAAGAGUCUCGACUUCAAGUAUGUUCUUCUUAUAGUUUUUCUUUUUGUAGUUGGGUUGGUUGAGGGCAUUCAACUAUUUGUUUCAAACUUGCUUUAUUAUCUGUUUGUAUGAAUUUCUUCAAGGACUGUUCCUCAAAAUUGUGAAUUAUAUGAAGAGAAAUUCUAUCUUUGUGUUGUUUGUCAUAUAUUAAAAAUUUUUUUUUAACACUUAAUCUACUGUCUAUUAAAAGAGAGGAUGCCAUUCUACUGUUCAUUUGAAAACUCCCUCACAUAGGCCUGUUGGGGAGAGAUUUUUUCACCCAAAAAAUUGAUUUUUUUGACCGUUAUUUCACUAUUCUAGCUAUCAUAUUUGACUUCUUUUCUUACAGGUGGACCCCACUUUUCUCCUAACGGUCAAAAAAUCAAUUCUCAAAACCACUACCAAACAGGCUCAUAUUCAUUGUUCAUUUGUAAAGCUGUGUGUGGACAAAAUGAGGACAGUUCGAACAUUUCACUCAUACCAUAAUUGUUGACUGGAGAACUAGGAUUUUAUUGUUGGUAGCUUCCAAAACACGUUUGUUUAUCUUUUUCUCACUGUAAUGUUCAUGAAUCCAUUGAACUUUUGCAGAUGUUUUCUAUACCAUUUUUAUAUUUCACUCUUCUUAGACACAAACCCUUGAAAUCUGCUGCAACAUCUCACUUCCUCAGCCAUCUCCUUCACCGUCAAAAGCACAACUUCAGAUAGGAAGGUAAUUAAGCGAUUAGUGAAGAUUUCUAGCUGCAAAGGUUUGUUGUUGUUAAUAAUUUAAGGUUUUCAAUUUGGGUUGUAGUUUUGGUUUGGAAUCAAUCAAAAUUGUUGUUAUGCAUUUAUUGUUGUAGAAAGUAGGAAGACGGCUCUGCUGUAUUUGGGAUUGGAUGAAGGACCCGUUAUGGGCUUGUAGAUCUACAAGUCCAUUUUGCAGUCAUAGAUGUUUUGGUGAUUUGUUUAGGAUGUGGUUUUAUAAUUUUUUCACUGAGCAGAUAAUACCAUUUGAACAUUUGGGAUGAUGAUGCAAUAAAGCGCAUAUUUGAAAUGGUGCUUUCACGUUUUCUGCUACAAAUUAUUUGUUGUCCUUAUUAAGGGGUAAAAAAAAAAAAAAAAAAAAAAUCAACUUGGGCUAAGUACUUGCAUUCUUUGUGAUUUUUUACUUUCUUUCUUCAUUUGUCUAUUUUUCACUUUUGAAUUUAUUUUCUCAUGAAAUAUGUUAUUCUCUUCUAUUUUCUGUAUGCAGUUUUGGUAAGUAAAGAAAGGUUGUAGAAUAAGUUCAAUCUUUAUGUUCCAAUAAUUAUGAGUGAAUAAACCUAAGGCAGCUGCAAAUGGCAAUGCUAAGCCAGAGGAGAAGGGUGAGGUUGUGACACAGAAGAAAUAGAAAUAAUGCAGUAACAAAGAUGGCAACAGAUAAAAAGGAUGAUGGGAAAGACGAGGCCCAAAUUAUGGAUAUGGACAAAGUGCAGAACAAAGAAAGCAAAGAAACUGAAGAAAAAGAAGCAGAUAAUGAAAUAAGAGAAAAGGAAGAAACCAAAGACGAAAAAGAAAAGAAAGAAGCAAAAGAAGAUGAAGAUAAAGAAGAAACAAAAGGAGGAGAAGAAAAAUAAGAAAUAAAAAGUGAGGAAAUGGAACUGCACUGAAAGACAUCUCUAAUGAUACAUCUUUUAAAUACUACCUUUUG
RNAcentral lists this long non-coding RNA (12940 nucleotides) under Olea europaea subsp. europaea. The record is from RNAcentral. Lineage: Eukaryota; Viridiplantae; Streptophyta; Magnoliopsida; Lamiales; Oleaceae.